AAAUUGAAGAGUUUGAUCAUGGCUCAGAUUGAACGCUGGCGGCAGGCCUAACACAUGCAAGUCGAACGGUAACAGGAAACAGCUUGCUGUUUCGCUGACGAGUGGCGGACGGGUGAGUAAUGUCUGGGAAACUGCCUGAUGGAGAGGGAUAACUACUGGAAACGGUAGCUAAUACCGCAUAACGUCGCAAGACCAAAGAGGGGGACCUUCGGGCCUCUUGCCAUCGGAUGUGCCCAGAUGGGAUUAGCUAGUAGGUGGGGUAACGGCUCACC
RNAcentral lists this ribosomal RNA (272 nucleotides) under Escherichia coli. RNAcentral's name for it is "partial 16S ribosomal RNA". It matches the Rfam family "Bacterial small subunit ribosomal RNA", at positions 1 to 269 of the family's 1533-position model. The record is from RNAcentral. Lineage: Bacteria; Pseudomonadati; Pseudomonadota; Gammaproteobacteria; Enterobacterales; Enterobacteriaceae.